This 759-nucleotide long non-coding RNA is filed under the name Mytilus galloprovincialis (Mediterranean mussel). Lineage: Eukaryota; Metazoa; Mollusca; Bivalvia; Mytilida; Mytilidae. The record is from RNAcentral.
UGCCUUCUUGUUAUUCGAGCGGUCUUGUGUAUACAAAACGCGCGUAUGUCGUACAUAAUUUAAAACCUGGUAUAUAUGAUGAUUUUAUUUAAAUGGAAAACAUCGAAGCCAAAUUCUCUAAAGUUCCAAGAAAAAUAAAAUUUGUAAAUUAUGAAACGAGACAACCACUGAUAAAAUGCAGGGACGGUUGUCAUUUAAAACGUACUGUGAAAGUCAGUUUUAAAUUAUUAAAUAUAUAAUGUAAGUGUUAACUGCAUUGUUUUCUCAAAUGGAACUAAGUGGUAAUUUCACCCAUCUCAAAAGUCUUUUAUUGAUUUAUGAUAGACAAAACAGGUCAAAUAAAAUGAAGAAAGGGAAUGUGUCAACAAGACUACAACCCGACCAUAGAACAGACAACAGCAGAAGGUCACAGUGCAGAAGAAAUUCCAAAAUAUAAAGAAUAGGAAAAAAUGAGGGAAAAUAUUAAAGGAUAUAAAGCAAAAUUGGUUUCUUAAAUAGAUAUCUAUGUUUAAAAAAGGAAGAGAAUAAUGAACAAAAAGAGAAGAAAAGAGAAAAGUGACAUAUAAACAAUUAAAGAACACAAAAAUGAAUUACCCUUCCUCAAACAAAUCAAGAUCACAAUACAUAUAAAUAACAUUUUAAAUAAUAUGUUAUAUAACUUUAAAGCCAGACGUUUGACAGUUAUUGCCAAUCCAAUCUAUAAUCAUAUGACCUGAAAAUACAUUUAAAAUUGUAACAAUAGCCAUUAUCAAAAGGAUC